This is a long non-coding RNA of Brassica napus (rape), 391 nucleotides long. RefSeq lists it as uncharacterized. The record is from RefSeq and is a predicted model, not a curated record. The transcript has 3 exons. Lineage: Eukaryota; Viridiplantae; Streptophyta; Magnoliopsida; Brassicales; Brassicaceae.
GUCCAUCCUGACUGCUUUACCACUCAAAAAACUUUCACCUUACAAAAACAAUUGGAGUUCAAGUGAAAUGUUUGUAUUCAUGGAAGCAACACACAUCUUUCGGAGGUGAUAGCUUCGAGAUGAUUUUAGCAGAUGAAUAGGGAAACAAGAUCCAUGCUACUUGCAAACUUAUCCGUCACUUCAGCUGGUGGUCAGUAUCAAACUACAAAACAUAAGUACAAGAUCAUAGCAGACAAUGUUCUGUUUUGAAAACCUUUACCAGUUGGUGUAAUAAGGUUAGUCUUUCACAGGUUCUCUCUUAUGGAAAAAUGUUGCUGGUUCAGAAAGCCAAGUUGUUAUUUGUGCAAUCAACGUAACAUCUUUAUUUUCAAACAUUCAUUUCAACGUAACA